Molecule: ribosomal RNA, 429 nt
Filed under: bacterium
Lineage: Bacteria
Description: partial 16S ribosomal RNA
Rfam family: Bacterial small subunit ribosomal RNA
Source: RNAcentral
UAGGGAAUCUUCGGCAAUGGGGGCAACCCUGACCGAGCAACGCCGCGUGAGUGAAGAAGGUUUUCGGAUCGUAAAGCUCUGUUGUAAGAGAAGAACGUGUGUGAGAGUGGAAAGUUCACACAGUGACGGUAACUUACCAGAAAGGGACGGCUAACUACGUGCCAGCAGCCGCGGUAAUACGUAGGUCCCGAGCGUUGUCCGGAUUUAUUGGGCGUAAAGCGAGCGCAGGCGGUUUAAUAAGUCUGAAGUUAAAGGCAGUGGCUUAACCAUUGUUCGCUUUGGAAACUGUUAAACUUGAGUGCAGAAAGGGAGAGUGGAAUUCCAUGUGUAGCGGUGAAAUGCGUAGAUAUAUGGAGGAACACCGGUGGCGAAAGCGGCUCUCUGGUCUGUAACUGACGCUGAGGCUCGAAAGCGUGGGGAGCAAACAGG